This 521-nucleotide small RNA is filed under the name Pongo abelii (Sumatran orangutan). Its description in RNAcentral is "sense overlapping". The record is from RNAcentral. Lineage: Eukaryota; Metazoa; Chordata; Mammalia; Primates; Hominidae.
GGAAUGAUGCAGAAGAAUGAAAAAGGCUUCAAAGUACAUUUGCAAAGAUGGAUGAGCUGCUGUUAUCAACGUUGAGCAGCUAAACAAAGCCCAGUGUCUUCCAAAACCAUGUUCUUGCCAUGAGGUCACCAGCUUGUCACUUCAUGGCUGCUGAGCUGCCAUGGCUCCUUCCAUCACAUCCUCACAAGACAGCAGCCCAAGCCAAAGGGACCAAAAAGGCCUCUCCUUGGACUUAUUGCUUACCAGAAAGAAAAGGUCCCAAGGCCUCCACUGGUCUCAUUGGCAAGGACUGAAUCACAUGUCCGUCAAGAUUCACACCCCUGAGCAGGGCUCCCCGUCCCUUGGACAGAAUUGGAGUUGGGGCACCAGGAAAGAAAAGGGUGUUACACAGCAACAAGUGCCCACCACAGGUACCCACAGCUUCUUCCAUUGCUCCUCGGAAGGCAACAAGGGGAAACCCCAUCAUUUUAGAGAGCUUUGUUAUCAUUACAUUUCAAUAACAAAAGGUCAUUUCCCUUUUU